GGAAUAUUGGACAAUGGGCGAAAGCCUGAUCCAGCCAUGCCGCGUGUGUGAAGAAGGUCUUCGGAUUGUAAAGCACUUUAAGUUGGGAGGAAGGGUCGUUACUUAAUACGUGGCGAUUUUGACGUUACCGACAGAAUAAGCACCGGCUAACUCUGUGCCAGCAGCCGCGGUAAUACAGAGGGUGCAAGCGUUAAUCGGAAUUACUGGGCGUAAAGCGCGCGUAGGUGGUUUGUUAAGUUGAAUGUGAAAUCCCCGGGCUCAACCUGGGAACUGCAUCCAAAACUGGCAAGCUAGAGUAGGGCAGAGGGUGGUGGAAUUUCCUGUGUAGCGGUGAAAUGCGUAGAUAUAGGAAGGAACACCAGUGGCGAAGGCGACCACCUGGGCUCAUACUGACACUGAGGUGCGAAAGCGUGGGGAGCAAACAGGAUUAGAUACCCGAG
This 440-nucleotide ribosomal RNA is filed under the name uncultured Pseudomonas sp. Its description in RNAcentral is "bacterial SSU rRNA". It matches the Rfam family "Bacterial small subunit ribosomal RNA", at positions 358 to 790 of the family's 1533-position model. Lineage: Bacteria; Pseudomonadati; Pseudomonadota; Gammaproteobacteria; Pseudomonadales; Pseudomonadaceae. The record is from RNAcentral.